This 253-nucleotide ribosomal RNA is filed under the name uncultured bacterium. RNAcentral's name for it is "partial 16S ribosomal RNA". It matches the Rfam family "Bacterial small subunit ribosomal RNA", at positions 524 to 776 of the family's 1533-position model. The record is from RNAcentral.
UACAGAGGGUGCGAGCGUUGUCCGGAAUUACUGGGCGUACAGGGAGCGUAGGCGGUUGGAUAAGCCCUCCGUGAAAUCUCCAGGCUUAACCUGGAAAGUGCAGAGGGGACUGUUCAGCUAGAGGAUGGGAGAGGAGCGCGGAAUUCCCGGUGUAGCGGUGAAAUGCGUAGAGAUCGGGAGGAAGGCCGGUGGCGAAGGCGGCGCUCUGGAACAUUUCUGACGCUGAGGCUCGAAAGCGUGGGGAGCAAACAGG